AUAAAUAAAUAAAGCCGUAUUGGUAACUUAAUUAUAUAGGAGGAUUGAGUUUUAUUUUAAUUAUUGGGGUGUAAUAAAUAAUUUGUACUGUGAAGGAUGAGUUUAAUGUUGAUUACAGUUGAGUAGGGGUAGUGAGUUUAUGUUCCUUUUGUAUCAGGAUUCAAUAAAUAAAAGAAAAAAUUUUGUAUUCCCGAAGAUAUGAGAGCUAUGGGUUGAGUAAAUAUGUUGUUGUAAAAAUAUAUUUAAUAAUUUUAUUGGGGUGAAAUGCUAUUCGGACAUUUGGAUAACUGGUUUAUGGAGAAGUUAUUUUAAGUAAGUUUUUUGAUUAGAGUAUCAUUUGUUAUUCGAAAGAUAUAUGUUGAUUGGGAUAAGCUAAUUAAUUAUUUAUAUUAAAGGUGGAAUGAUAUUUAUUAUAAUUAAAAGUUGAAAUGAGAAGUGUUAUAACUAAUUAAUUUUUAAAAUAGUGUAGAUUAAGUUUAUAUCUGUAUGAUUUAUGUAAUUUGAAAUUGGAGUUAAUAAUGUUGUAAUUAGUAGAAUAAUAUAAUGUUUAUGUUUUUAUAUAUAUAUAUAUAAUGAAGUUUUAAUAAUGAUAUUGUGAAUAUUAGGAAUUUGGCAAAUUUAUUUUAUGCAUGUUUAUCAAAAGCUUGGUUUAUAGAUGUUAUUGUAAAUCUGAUCUGCCAAUUGAUUAGUUAAAAGGCCGCAGUAUUUUGACUGUGCGAAGGUAGCAUAAUCAAUUGUCUUUUUAUUGGAGAAUAGUAUGAAAGAUUUAACAUAGAAUAACUGUCUCAUAUUUAGGAAUUGAAUUUGCUUUUUUGUUAAAAAUCAAAGAUGUAAUUGAGGGACGAAAAGACCCUAUGAACUUAUCCUUUUCUCUCUUUUUUUGUUUUUGANAGAGAAAAGGGUUUAACUGGGGUGGUUGUGAAAGAUUGAAUAUCUUUUGUUGAUGGAUUUAUGUAUAUGAAUUGGUUUGAUCCACUUGGGGUGAUUAUAAUGGUUAAGUUACUGUAGGGAUAACAGUCGUANUAUUUUAAUGAAUGUCUUAUUUUUUGAAAUGAUUGCUACCUCGAUGUUGAAUUAAUUGUCUUUUUGGUGUAUGUUUUAAGUAGGGGAAAGUCUGUUCGACUUUUAAAUUUUUACAUGAUUUGAGUUCAGAUCGGCGUGAGCCAGAUUGGUUUCUAUCUUCAAUAUAAAACACUUUUUUGUACGAAAGGACUAAAAGUGUUUUAUUUUAAAUGUUAAUGGUUUUAGUU
RNAcentral lists this ribosomal RNA (1250 nucleotides) under Pseudocellus pearsei. RNAcentral describes it as "16S ribosomal RNA". The stretch from base 835 to 1185 matches the Rfam family "Archaeal large subunit ribosomal RNA", at positions 2153 to 2718 of the family's 2987-position model. The record is from RNAcentral. Lineage: Eukaryota; Metazoa; Arthropoda; Arachnida; Ricinulei; Ricinoididae.